This 64-nucleotide transfer RNA is filed under the name Ditaxis biseriata. RNAcentral describes it as "tRNA-Thr". It matches the Rfam family "tRNA". Rfam says of the family: Transfer RNA (tRNA) molecules are approximately 80 nucleotides in length. Lineage: Eukaryota; Metazoa; Arthropoda; Insecta; Neuroptera; Mantispidae. The record is from RNAcentral.
GUUUUAAUAGUUUAAAAAAAACAUUGGUUUUGUAAUCCUAAAAUAAGAUUUAUCUUUUAAAACU